RNAcentral lists this transfer RNA (89 nucleotides) under Cytophagaceae bacterium. RNAcentral describes it as "tRNA-Leu". The record is from RNAcentral. Lineage: Bacteria; Pseudomonadati; Bacteroidota; Cytophagia; Cytophagales; Cytophagaceae.
GUGGCUUUGGUGCUGUUUGGGCAAAUGUACGCUAGACUUAGGAUCUAGUGCCGCAAGGUGUGAGAGUUCGAGUCUCUCCGCCUGUACAA